CUGUCCCCUGUGAGCUUCCCUUUGUCAUCCUAUGCCUGAGCGAUGCCUGGAGGCUGGGACGGCGAAGGGAAGCCCA
Non-coding RNA from Struthio camelus australis, 76 nucleotides. The record is from Rfam. Lineage: Eukaryota; Metazoa; Chordata; Aves; Struthioniformes; Struthionidae.